Long non-coding RNA from Onychostoma macrolepis, 523 nucleotides. RefSeq lists it as uncharacterized. The record is from RefSeq and is a predicted model, not a curated record. NCBI's taxonomy places the organism in Eukaryota, Metazoa, Chordata, Actinopteri, Cypriniformes, Cyprinidae. The transcript is spliced from 3 exons.
UUAAUAUGUGUGCGUAAUGUUUUUCGUUACAAAGUGUCUUCAUGCCCUUACACAAUAAUAUUUCUGUUUUUCCUACGAGUUUGUUUACAUCUCCCCUGUCGACUGAAACUUUAAUCCGUUUUUUCUGCACUCUUGACUAACGACACGAGCGCUUGUAGCAGAUCGAUUUCAAACGUAUAAAAAACGGGUUCCUUACUUUUUCUGUUCGUCUCAACAAUUUUGGGGGAAUUUUUUUUACAUACAUUUCAGAUAUUAGGCAGAAGGGCUCACCUUGAAGACCAGCGGAGCCUCUUUCGUGGUGUCGCGUCCACUCUGAGUGAAGAGGGCGCUGCGAGCUACACUGAUUACACGCGCCGCUUCUUCAGCCACGAAGAACUGAACAUGGAAGAGAGCGGUGCAUUGUUAUCAUCAAUUAUCAAAAGAUACCGUUAUCGGUUUCAAGGGAUAGAUAGACUUUGAGCUCUAAAGGGCAUGGAGAGAUGAAGAGAGCCUUGGUUGGAUCUUCUGGAUAUUUCUUCUGGUG